GCGUCAGUGGUUUAGUGGUAAAAUCCAUCGUUGCCAUCUAUAUACAGAUUCGAUGGGCCCCGCGUUCGAUUCGCGGCUGACGCA
Non-coding RNA from Lasiosphaeria miniovina, 84 nucleotides. The record is from the annotation of a RefSeq genome assembly. Lineage: Eukaryota; Fungi; Ascomycota; Sordariomycetes; Sordariales; Lasiosphaeriaceae.